AUGUAUCGCCUCUCAGCUGAGUAUUUCCAGUGUAUCUUUCCGUCAGUUCUGGACUGCAGGGCAGCAGUUUUGGAAAGUUUCCCCCUGGAGAGCCGGGCAGUGCAGCUGGCAGGAACGAGCUUUCCAGGUGUUUUCCGAGAGAGCGGAACCUUUGUGACUUCUCAGAGUGCAAUAUCCCCAACACUCAUCGCAGCAGGGAAAGUGGAGAGAGGAGACAGGCUAGCCCGCAGAGCUUGCAAUGAACCUGUACUUGUUCCAUUGCAGACUAAAACCUUGCCUGGCUUCACAAGAAGUGUCCAUUGAAAUAUUUAUGCCGACUAGGUCUGUGAUUUUCACAGUACAGCUGUAUAAUAAAAACAUAGAAAGAUGGGGGACUGUCCGUGGGGUUAAGAGGUAACCGACCUGGGUCCAAUUGAUCCAGACCUCUGCUUCCCGACUGCAGCAAAAGGAAGGAGAGGACAUCUGUGGGGGCUUCCUGCUGGAUAAUGUGGGAUGCUUCCUGUCCUAUCACAGGAACAGGAAGUUAAUAAUUGAGUGGGGGAAAAAAAACUCAAAAUGAAUUUUUCAUCCACUCCUUUAUUUCCCUCCCGUUUUCUCUCCCUCCCCCCUAAAACAUUCUUGGUUUUGAAAUCCAAAUAAAAAUAGACAGCUUUUUGCAUUUGUUUUUUUUUUUCAUUUCCGAGGGCACACAUUUGAAUUUAGGUCAAGGCUUGGAGAAGCCAGAAAGAAA
RNAcentral lists this long non-coding RNA (730 nucleotides) under Lepisosteus oculatus (spotted gar). RNAcentral describes it as "lncRNA (ENSLOCG00000021060.1)". Lineage: Eukaryota; Metazoa; Chordata; Actinopteri; Semionotiformes; Lepisosteidae. The record is from RNAcentral.